This 324-nucleotide ribosomal RNA is filed under the name uncultured eukaryote. RNAcentral describes it as "partial 18S ribosomal RNA". It matches the Rfam family "Eukaryotic small subunit ribosomal RNA", at positions 1470 to 1796 of the family's 1831-position model. The record is from RNAcentral.
CCCCUAGAUGUUCUGGGCCGCACGCGCGCUACACUGAACAGUUCAACAAGUCUUAACCUUGGCCGAUAGGUCUGGGUAAUCUUUGAACGCUGUUCGUGAUUGGGAUAGACCUUUGCAAUUAUGGGUCUUCAACGAGGAAUUCCUAGUAAACGCAAGUCAUCAGCUUGCAUUGAUUACGUCCCUGCCCUUUGUACACACCGCCCGUCGCACCUACCGAUUGAAUGGUCCGGUGAAUAAUUCGGACUGAUGCAAUAUUCAGCUCCUGGACGUUGCGUUGGAAAGUUUAGUGAACCUUAUCACUUAGAGGAAGGAGAAGUCGUAACA